AAUUGAAGGUCAUUCCUAUUCGUAUUAAUUCGAUAACCGAUGAAUUGCCAACAGUACUAAAGUCUGUCCGAUACAUAGAUGCAGAAAAAGAAGAAGAUGUUGCAGCAAGAAUAAAUGAAGUAUACAAUAAUCCUGCUGUAAUGAAAAUGCAAAGCGUAGAGCGAACAGCUUGUGAAAACGGACAAAAUGGUGCAAGUAUAUGGAUGUUGGAGGCAAAACUUAAGAAACAUUGUGGAUUCUUGUAUACUUGUAAUUUUCCAGCACUUACUGAGGAAAAUAAAGUAUCUCUUAACUCCCACGGUACAAA
Long non-coding RNA from Mytilus trossulus (common blue mussel), 307 nucleotides. RefSeq lists it as uncharacterized. Lineage: Eukaryota; Metazoa; Mollusca; Bivalvia; Mytilida; Mytilidae. The transcript is spliced from 3 exons. The record is from RefSeq and is a predicted model, not a curated record.